ACGCUCGACACCUACGGGAGGCAGCAGUGGGAAUAUUGCACAAUGGGGGAAACCCUGAUGCAGCGACGCCGCGUGGAGGAAGAAGGUCUUCGGAUUGUAAACUCCUGUUGUUGGGGAAAAAGAGGAUGGUACCCAACAAGGAAGUGACGGCUAACUACGUGCCGGCAGCCGCGGUAAUCUGAGCGGGCUGGCAAGGC
RNAcentral lists this ribosomal RNA (197 nucleotides) under uncultured bacterium. RNAcentral's name for it is "partial 16S ribosomal RNA". It matches the Rfam family "Bacterial small subunit ribosomal RNA", at positions 328 to 539 of the family's 1533-position model. The record is from RNAcentral.